This is a non-coding RNA of Xenopus tropicalis (tropical clawed frog), 146 nucleotides long. The record is from Rfam. NCBI's taxonomy places the organism in Eukaryota, Metazoa, Chordata, Amphibia, Anura, Pipidae.
GGCUCUGUGGCGCAAUGGAUAGCGCAUUGGACUUCUAGGUGAAAGAAUCAGAGUCGCUCUUAUGAAGGAAAAAGGAAAAAAAAGCUCUGGACUUCUAGGUGGAAGAAGGAAUUCAAAGAUUGUGGGUUCAAAUCCCAUCAGAGUCG